UGCUUGGGAAUUUGCCUUUAGGUGGGGACGAACAGUUGGAACGACUGCUAAUACCGCAUAAUAGCUACGGCUCAAAGGGGGCGCUUGCGCUUUCGCCUUUAGAGAAGCCCAAGUGGGAUUAGAUAGUUGGUGGGGUAAUGGCUCACCAAGUCAGCGAUCCCUAGCUGGUCUGAGAGGAUGAUCCGCCACACUGGGUACUGAGACACGGGACCAGACUCCUACGGGAGGCAGCAGUGAGGAAUAUUGCACAAUGGGGGAAACCCUGAUGCAGCAACGCCGCGUGGAGGAUGACGCAUUUCG
RNAcentral lists this ribosomal RNA (300 nucleotides) under uncultured bacterium. RNAcentral describes it as "bacterial SSU rRNA". It matches the Rfam family "Bacterial small subunit ribosomal RNA", at positions 114 to 420 of the family's 1533-position model. The record is from RNAcentral.